This 492-nucleotide ribosomal RNA is filed under the name uncultured bacterium. RNAcentral describes it as "partial 16S ribosomal RNA". It matches the Rfam family "Bacterial small subunit ribosomal RNA", at positions 29 to 507 of the family's 1533-position model. The record is from RNAcentral.
AGUGAACGCUGGCGGUAGGCCUAACACAUGCAAGUCGAACGGCCGCACAGUAAGAGCUUGCUCUUACGGGUGGCGAGUGGCGGACGGGUGAGGAAUACAUCGGAAUCUACUUUUUCGUGGGGGAUAACGUAGGGAAACUUACGCUAAUACCGCAAACGACCUACGGGUGAAAGCAGGGGAUCUUCGGACCUUGCGCGAUUGAAUGAGCCGAUGUCGGAUUAGCUAGUUGGCGGGGUAAAGGCCCACCAAGGCGACGAUCCGUAGCUGGUCUGAGAGGAUGAUCAGCCACACUGGAACUGAGACACGGUCCAGACUCCUACGGGAGGCAGCAGUGGGGAAUAUUGGACAAUGGGCGCAAGCCUGAUCCAGCCAUACCGCGUGGGUGAAGAAGGCCUUCGGGUUGUAAAGCCCUUUUGUUGGGAAAGAAAAGCAGCAGGUUAAUACCCCGCUGUUCUGACGGUACCCAAAGAAUAAGCACCGGCUAACUUCGUG